AGAGUUUGAUCCUGGCUCAGGAUGAACGCUGGCGGCGUGCUAACACAUGCAAGUCGAACGGGCGCGGCGUGCGGCAGGGGCCUCGGCCUCUGCGGCGUCGCGCGAGUGGCGGACGGGUGAGUAACGCUGGGCAACCUGCCCUGUACUGGGGGAUAACACCUGGAAACAGGUGCUAAUACCGCAUAAGCGCGCUGUGCCGCAUGGCACGGCGCGGAAAACCCCGGUGGUACAGGAUGGGCCCGCGUCUGAUUAGCUGGUUGGCAGGGUAACGGCCUACCAAGGCGACGAUCAGUAGCCGGCCUGAGAGGGUGGACGGCCACACUGGGACUGAGACACGGCCCAGACUCCUACGGGAGGCAGCAGUGGGGGAUAUUGCACAAUGGGGGGAACCCUGAUGCAGCGACGCCGCGUGGGUGAAGGAGCGUUUCGGCGCGUAAAGCUCUAUCGGCAGGGAAGAAGAUGACGGUACCUGACCAAGAAGCCCCGGCUAACUACGUG
RNAcentral lists this ribosomal RNA (498 nucleotides) under uncultured Eubacteriales bacterium. Its description in RNAcentral is "bacterial SSU rRNA". It matches the Rfam family "Bacterial small subunit ribosomal RNA", at positions 8 to 507 of the family's 1533-position model. Lineage: Bacteria; Bacillati; Bacillota; Clostridia; Eubacteriales. The record is from RNAcentral.